UACGUAGGGGGCUAGCGUUGUCCGGAAUCAUUGGGCGUAAAGCGCGUGUAGGCGGUCCGGUAAGUCCGCUGUGAAAGUCGGGGGCUCAACCCUCGGAUGCCGGUGGAUACUGUCGGGCUUGAGUACGGAAGAGGAGUGUGGAAUUCCUGGUGUAGCGGUGAAAUGCGCAGAUAUCAGGAGGAACACCAAUGGCGAAGGCAGCACUCUGGGACGUGACUGACGCUGAGACGCGAAAGCGUGGGGAGCAAACAGG
Molecule: ribosomal RNA, 253 nt
Filed under: uncultured bacterium
Lineage: Bacteria
Description: partial 16S ribosomal RNA
Rfam family: Bacterial small subunit ribosomal RNA
Source: RNAcentral